GACGAACGCUGGCGGCGUGCCUAAUACAUGCAAGUCGAACGAACCGCGACUGAGUGCUUGCACUUGGUCAAGGUGAGUGGCGAACGGGUGAGUAACAAGUGGGUAACCUACCUCAUAGUGGGGGAUAACAGUCGGAAACGACUGCUAAUACCGCAUAGGACAUAGGAUCACAUGAUCCAGUGAGGAAAGGUGGCGCAAGCUAUCGCUAAGAGAUGGACCCGCGGUGCAUUAGCUAGUUGGUAGGGUAAAGGCCUACCAAGGCGAUGAUGCAUAGCCGACCUGAGAGGGUGAUCGGCCACAUUGGGACUGAGACACGGCCCAAACUCCUACGGGAGGCAGCAGUAGGGAAUCUUCCGCAAUGGACGCAAGUCUGACGGAGCAACGCCGCGUGAGUGAAGAAGGUCUUCGGAUCGUAAAGCUCUGUUGUUAGAGAAGAACAGCGCAUAGAGUAACUGCUAUGCGUGUGACGGUAUCUAACCAGAAAGCCACGGCUAACUACGUG
Molecule: ribosomal RNA, 502 nt
Filed under: uncultured bacterium
Lineage: Bacteria
Description: partial 16S ribosomal RNA
Rfam family: Bacterial small subunit ribosomal RNA
Source: RNAcentral